Molecule: long non-coding RNA, 393 nt
Filed under: Capsicum annuum
Lineage: Eukaryota; Viridiplantae; Streptophyta; Magnoliopsida; Solanales; Solanaceae
Description: long non-coding RNA (CANN_LNC016662)
Source: RNAcentral
UCAUUUUGUUGAUUUGGUUGAGUGCUGGUUGUAGAAUGUUGUAAAGAACCCAUAAGAUAGCCGGGAUCAAAGGAAGUAAUAAGGCCAAACCCCUGUUGUCUCCCUCAGCUAUAUCGGCUAUUUGUUGAGCUGCAAAUGCGGCGUCACAUGAGCUAAGAGUAGAGAAAAUGGCGCCGGCUAUAGCUGUUCCGGUUAAAGGAAUGGAGGAUAAGUUUGAGGGAUUUUGAGAAGAUUUUGAAGUUAAGAGACCUUUUGGGAGAUUUUGGAUGGAGAGAAGGGAGAUGGGUUUUGGCUUUGAUUGGUUGUUGAUAGAUGCUUUGGCGAAGCAUUUGGCAUUGAGCAUGGCCAUGGUAGCUAUGGUGGCUGCCAUUUCUUGAUUUUGUUGGCUAGAAA